UCCCCGCAAUUGUGCACGCGAGCCGCGUGGUUCUUGCCAGUACACUGCAGUUUAGCUCUGCACUCUAUUCUUUCCCGCUUGCUGUGCACCUUUACACCCUGUGAGACAUUCACAACUAUAAAAUUCAUGUAGGCUGUACACCAUGGUUACGAGAAGCUUUAUUGUCUUCCCCAAUUCCAAAUGGCAGGGUUCAAUCCAAAUCGCAUCGUUGUAUCAAAACCCUAGCCAUCAGAUUAUUUGAUACCUCUGAAUUCCUGUUACUUUCUGUAGUUGCUCAGAGUUGCGUUUUUUGGUGAUUGAAUUGCAAUUCUCUGUCAAUAGAUCAAAGAUACAGUAGAGGAGUUUAAAAGGAAGUGAGACUGCUGAAGGUGGAAAUGGAAGCUGCUCAAGUUUUUCUGGCAGAGCAGUUUUCUAGUCCUAGAUUGGAUUCUGUAUCAGCAUCCUCUGCAAAGAAGCAGUACGAUUCAUCUACAAGAACCAGGAGAAGAAUUUGGGAUAUAAUUACCUCCCGUUGGGACAAAAUAUCAUGUCGCAUUCAUUAGCCUUGCAAGUGAAAGUGCUGGUUACAUCAUUAAAUGCAUAGCUUUAAGCUCUUGGACAUGCACUCUUGAAGAUAUUUGAGUAGAAUGAUGGCCGGCAAGUUGCGACUUCUUCGCUGCAGCAGUACUGGUCUUGUCCGAAAGACUAACAUGUGCUCUUGCAGCCAUCAGCUUCGCUCCCACCUUCACCUUCACCAUUACCAAUCACCUGAAGGUUUUUUGGACAACCUGUUCGAUGUCCAAUAUUGAUUACUCAGAUGAAUACGUUUUUACACAGAUGUAAGUUUACUCAGGUGAAUCAUAAUUUCGACACCUUUAGCUUGAAAAAUAAAUAAAUUUUCUCUUUGGCAGCAAAUGAUCUACAUUCGUAUACAUUUGUGUUAAUGCCCUCAUGUGUGUGCACACCUUGUCUAUUUAUGGGCAUUUCAUCCAUUCAUUUGAGGAGAUGUCACAAAUUGGACCACAUUGCAAAAAGAAAAACUGCACCAUUUUGGAUGAUUCGUAGAAAUUUGCAAUCUAGAUGAUAAAUGAGAUUUUUGACACUUAAGAAAGUAUUAAGAUCACUAUCCUUUAUCCCUUAGAUAUCUGAUAUUAAACAUAAAUUUUCCAUAUGGUUUUGAAAUGGUAUUUGUAGCACUUCUUCCGUUUAUGAAGACAGCAUAUUGUAAUUUGACUAAAUCUUGGAUUUACCAAAUAUCAUCACAUUCCAUCAAGUAGAAUUAAUUCUCACUGAAGUUAGCAAUGGAUUCUUUGUCCAGUUAAUUAAUUCGGAAGUAGACACUCUUAAAGAUGGUUUUGAGUGUUUUCAUUCCUCAAAAAUGCCAUCUGUCAUGAUCACUGUGUUUUAAUUUAAGGCAAAUACAUUUCUUAAAAUCCAAGUUCACAUAUUUAUUUAAGGCAAAUACAUUUCUUAAAAUCCAAGAGUAUGCUCAGAGAGUGGCUUCGGACGCCUGUUUAUGAGACCAUUAAGGAAGGCCCUUCUCAUGAGCCUUUCUUUAAAAUAGCAGUAAUUCUGGACAACAUUAAAUACUAUUCUGUACCUGGAUUUUAUAAUCGCAAGGCGGCAGAGCAGUCAGCUGCUGAAGUAGCUCUCUUGGAACUUGUCAAAUCUGUGGACACUUUUUUGGCAUCUCUCAACCAGUGGUAAUUAUCUUGGAUGAACAAGGAAUUAUUUGCUCAUUACGUGUAGAACCAUGUACAUUUUUAGCACGAUUUAUUGAUUUCCUUGUAUCUUCUGCUUAAUGCCAUCAUAAUAACCCUCUACUCCUUGGUUCCUCCCUUCUCCCAGAAACAAAAACUGCUUUUAUCUUGCAUUUGUUGGUGCAGUGGGUUUAUGCCGAAAUUUCCCAACUUUUGCUAAAACUAGUUUUGAGUAAAAUGAGGGCGAUACAGUAUCUGGAAAUAUCAAUAGGAAGGGUUUGCUUGAAUUGCAUUAUAGUAAUCUUAAGUUCUCCUUGGUCAACUCAAUGACUUGCCUAUUUAAUUAUCAAAAUACCAUUUGAGUGUUAAUUUUGUGAUGCAAGAUUACUGAAAUUAUUGUAUGACCUUUGCUAUUUUUGGUCAGAAAAUUCUCGCACAACCUGGUUGCUCAAAAUUGAAAUUCUACUAUUUGCUAAACGUUGAUAGUGGUGCUAAGUUUGUUAUUCAUAGUCACUCUAAUUGAGACAGUGCUCUUCAGCAUGAUCAAUGAAAUACCUCGGUGAUUACUAAACAAUUGGGACACUAUCUUCAAGAAGCAUUAUCACUAAGAAUAAUAAAAAUCGCCUUUACAAUACGAACAUAGGAAUAAGAUUUGUGUUUGUAGUGUAGCAGGUUACUGAUUGGUCUAGAAAAUCUGAUCUUACACAUCCCAUAGAGGAAAACAAAGUGAAACUAAGAAGCCCUGUUAAAAUUCUAAAAAGAGCAACUAAGUGUGUUUGUUUUGCUUGUUCUAGUCGUUGGUUCUUUCCCGUUUCAAUUCUCUUCAUCUUUUUUAUCUGUGUUGGUAUUGUUUGAAGGGUUUAUAUUUCAGUGUCAGACUGCCUUGUGCAAAAAUUUGUUACAAGAAUAUGCUCGAAAGAUGAACUUCGCAGUUCCAUUAUAUGAAUUCCAUAAAAUUGAGGGAGGAAGACGAACAACGUUGUUUUCUUGUACUGUUUAAAUUGGGGGCAUCAAAUAUAUUAGAGCUUCAGCAAGCACGAAGAAGGAAGCUGGGAUUAAAGCUGGAGGACUGCCUCAUUGGCCAUCCAGGCUGAUACAUCUGCCUCUGAAGAUCGUGUUGGAAAAUCUAUUUACGCUGUUGUUCCUUGUAAAAAGAAGGUACCAAAUCCUCGAAUCAGCACUCAGGAGACUUUAGCAACCUUCAAGCCGAAGGAAUGUCAUUUCAAGAAGCAGCAGUGGAAGAAGAGACGUGUUAUGACAGGGGUAACCCUGAUGGUCGGGCGGGAGUAGAAUUGUGUGUAAUUGAUGCUGUUGGCAUGGCUGGUGGUUUGGAUGUCGAUUUGGAUUGUUGGGCAUGAAUGGAAUUUGGUGUAACUGAUGCUAUUGUGGUUUCCAUGGAGAAAGAAUCUGGGCUUGCCCUCAUGGCAAAUAUUUGUUAUGGAGAGUUAAGAAAAUAAUUUGAGACGACGUUUUGUGGAUUUUCGAGUUUUAUCUCAAACAGGGCUACUUAUUUGAUCCUGAUGAUUACUGCUGCUGUCAAUGAAACAUGGAGCCUUGAAGGUAUGAUUAAUUCACACUCUAGAUAAUGUGUUUGAAUUUGAGUUAUUUUUAUAGGAUUAUUUGUUUUGUUAUAAUUCUUUAAUGAGCAUUUUCUGUUCUAUUUUCAUAAUGUUUGGCUGCAUUUUCUGUUUCCCUUAUUAGACUUGUUCAAUUUUAUUCUGACCUGUAAGCUGCAACUCAAGCUAGAAAAUUAGUUCCAAUAGAAUUUAGUUUGGAGAAUUAUUUGAAGGUGAAUUAGAUCAUACUAAACUAUUUUAAUGAGAAAAACAAGUUAAAAUAUUCUCGGUCAUUAUGAUCUAGUACUGCAUAAAACGAGUAACUUUUCUGACUUGUAAGUUGUGACUCAAGCUAGAAAAUUAGGUCCAAAAGAAUUUAGUUUGGAGAAAUAUUUGGAGGUGAAUUAGACAAUAUUGAAGGAUCUUAGAUAAGAUAAACAAGUAAAAUAUUCUCUGUCAUUAUGAUCUAGUUCUGCAUAAAAACGAGUAGAUUUUUAAAUAGAAAUCCUAGUUUUCUAGAAUUUUUUUCUGUCUGUCAAAGUAUAGAUUCUUCUUCUUCCUGCCAAAGAUGAAGUCAGUCCAUUAUUUGUGAAAAUUUAGUAGUACUAUUGGAUCUUGUAGUAGAUCUGAUAACGAACAAAACUGAAUAGUAAA
Olea europaea var. sylvestris is the source of this 3889-nucleotide long non-coding RNA. RefSeq lists it as uncharacterized. Lineage: Eukaryota; Viridiplantae; Streptophyta; Magnoliopsida; Lamiales; Oleaceae. The record is from RefSeq and is a predicted model, not a curated record. The transcript is spliced from 3 exons.